This is a long non-coding RNA of Alnus glutinosa, 530 nucleotides long. RefSeq lists it as uncharacterized. NCBI's taxonomy places the organism in Eukaryota, Viridiplantae, Streptophyta, Magnoliopsida, Fagales, Betulaceae. The record is from RefSeq and is a predicted model, not a curated record. The transcript is spliced from 3 exons.
GUAACCAAUUUAAUCUCGUUAUGAGAAAAGGAUAAAUACAGACUUAUGAUCUUGUUAAUUAUUUUGAACGUUUCUUUCGGCCAUAAUGCGUAGGAGUUUGAUUGAAAAUGAAAUGAGGUUUCUAUUAAGAAUUCCAAGGUUUCCUUUUAGCAGAUAAGGACUCCUUUUUUGUAACUAUAAGUACCCCCUUUGACAACGUACGUGCUUGCUAGAUAGCCACAGCCGAUCAUAGUAGAAACUUUGAAGGCAAAAAUGACCAUCCUCGUUGAGAAGCCUGAGCUAAUUGGGACAGAGGUGGAGGGGAAGAAGCAUUUGUCUGAAACCAAGGAGAUGGUGCCCCAAGCAGUAUCAAACAAGGAAGAUAACGAAAAAGAAAAUGGAUUCUUUGCACCAGAUGUCAAUUCAUUCGGCAACUCAUUCAGGUGAAGAGGAUGAGAGAAGAGUAUGGAAAGCUGGACAGAGUGGAAAUGGGGAUAUGGGAAUGUUGUGAGCUCCUCAACGAGGUGGUGGACGACAGUGAUCCCGACUUG